Molecule: ribosomal RNA, 405 nt
Filed under: uncultured bacterium
Lineage: Bacteria
Description: bacterial SSU rRNA
Rfam family: Bacterial small subunit ribosomal RNA
Source: RNAcentral
AUUUGGGCAAUGGGCGAAAGCCUGACCCAGCGACGCCGCGUGAGGGAUGAAGUUCCUCGGAAUGUAAACCUCUGUCGAGUGGGACGAAUCCUUGGCGGUAAAUAAUCGUCAAGGUUGACGGUACCACUGGAGGAAGCUCCGGCUAACUCCGUGCCAGCAGCCGCGGUAAUACGGGGGGAGCAAGCGUUGUUCGGAGUUAUUGGGCGUAAAGGGCGUACAGGCGGCGAUGUAAGUCAGAUGUGAAAUGUUCCGGCUCAACCGGGACCCUGCAUUUGAUACUGCAUCACUUGAGUACAGGAGAGGAGAGCGGAAUUCCCGGUGUAGCGGUGGAAUGUGUAGAUAUCGGGAAGAACACCAGUGGCGAAGGCGGCUCCUCCUGCCAGAUACUGACGCUGACGCGCGAAU